AAAGAAACUAACAAGGAUUCCCCUAGUAACUGCGAGUGAAGCGGGAAAAGCUCAAAUUUAAAAUCUGGCAGUCUUUGGCUGUCCGAGUUGUAAUCUAGAGAAGUGUUAUCCGCGUUGGACCAUGUACAAGUCUCCUGGAAUGGAGCGUCAUAGAGGGUGAGAAUCCCGUCUUUGACAUGGACUACCAGUGCUUUGUGAUGCGCUCUCAAAGAGUCGAGUUGUUUGGGAAUGCAGCUCAAAAUGGGUGGUAAAUUCCAUCUAGAGCUAAAUAUUGGCGAGAGACCGAUAGCGAACAAGUACCGUGAGGGAAAGAUGAAAAGAACUUUGGAAAGAGAGUUAAACAGUACGUGAAAUUGCUGAAAGGGAAACGCUUGAAGUCAGACACAUUUGCUAGAAAUCAACCUUGCUUUUGCUGGGCGUAUUUUCUAGUUAAUGGGUCAGCAUCAAUUUUAAUCAUUGGAAAAAGUUCAAGGGAAUGUGGCAUCUUUGGUUGUGUUAUAGCCUUUGUUCGCAUACAAUGGUUGGGAUUGAGGAUCUCAGCACGCCGCAAGGCCGGGUUUCGACCACGUUCGUGCUUAGGAUGCUGGCAUAAU
RNAcentral lists this ribosomal RNA (593 nucleotides) under uncultured Basidiomycota. RNAcentral's name for it is "LSU rRNA". It matches the Rfam family "Eukaryotic large subunit ribosomal RNA", at positions 58 to 635 of the family's 3401-position model. Lineage: Eukaryota; Fungi; Basidiomycota. The record is from RNAcentral.